This is a long non-coding RNA of Drosophila mojavensis, 432 nucleotides long. RefSeq lists it as uncharacterized. NCBI's taxonomy places the organism in Eukaryota, Metazoa, Arthropoda, Insecta, Diptera, Drosophilidae. The record is from RefSeq and is a predicted model, not a curated record. The transcript is spliced from 3 exons.
GUAUUUUCAGCUUUGUUCUUAUUUGGUGGUUGGAUUCGUUUGGUAAGUAGUUUCAAUUUAUUAGGAUUCAGGAAUUAAUUAUUGUUUGGUGGCACCAGAGAGGACAGCCAAGUUGAUGAUGGAUGGAUAAGACGUGGAAAGUUACCAAGUCUGAUUUUAUAGUAUAUAAAUAGGUUAUUUGUUAUUCUUAGGUUAUUGUUUUGUUUGUAGAAUUGUCAUUAGUUUAUUGUUUUGCUUGUUUCCCUUAGUCUGAGUUAUUGUUUGUUUAGACUUUGUUUCAUUUAGUGAAUUUUAGUCUUUUAGGAAUAUUUGUCUUGUUAUUUAGUGUAGUAGUUUAAGUUUAAGAUUGCAUUUGCCUGGGGUAAUUUGAGUUUUAAUAUAUGGCGCAGAGUAUUUGUUUCCUUUGUGGCUAUCGAAUUUUGACAAAUAGCG